This 69-nucleotide transfer RNA is filed under the name Phaneroptera nigroantennata. RNAcentral's name for it is "tRNA-Gln". The record is from RNAcentral. Lineage: Eukaryota; Metazoa; Arthropoda; Insecta; Orthoptera; Tettigoniidae.
UACAUUUUAGUGUAUGAGGCACGAGAAUUUUUGAUAUUUUAAGGAACAGUUUAAUUCUGUUAAAUGCAA